GCUAGGAUGAAUGCUGGCGGCAUGCCUAAUACAUGCAAGUCGAGCGGUAACAGGACUAGCUUGCUAGUUGCUGACGAGCGGCGGACGGCUGAGUAACGCAUGGGAACGCACCCCAAACUGAGGGACAACUAGUCGAAAGAUUAGCUAAUACCGCAUGUGAUCUUCGGAUUAAAGCCUUCGGGCGGUUUGGGAGCGGCCUGUGUACGAUUAGAUAGUUGGUGAGGUAGUGGCUCACCAAGUCGACGAUCGUUAGAUGGUUUGAGAGGAUGAUCAUCCAGACUGGAACUGAGACACGGUCCAGACUCCUACGGGAGGCAGCAGUAGGGAAUCUUUCACAAUGGGCGAAAGCCUGAAUGGAGCAAUGCCGCGUGCAGGACGAAGGCCUUCGGGUUGUAAACUGCUUUUAUAAGCGAGGAAUAUGACGGUAACUUAUGAAUAAGGAUCGGCUAACUACGUGCCAGCCGCGGC
Molecule: ribosomal RNA, 468 nt
Filed under: uncultured bacterium
Lineage: Bacteria
Description: bacterial SSU rRNA
Rfam family: Bacterial small subunit ribosomal RNA
Source: RNAcentral